This 433-nucleotide ribosomal RNA is filed under the name uncultured bacterium. RNAcentral's name for it is "partial 16S ribosomal RNA". It matches the Rfam family "Bacterial small subunit ribosomal RNA", at positions 29 to 507 of the family's 1533-position model. The record is from RNAcentral.
AACGAACGCUGGCGGCACGCCUAACACAUGCAAGUCGAACGAGACCUUCGGGUCUAGUGGCGCACGGGUGCGUAACGCGUGGGAACCUGCCCUUAGGUUCGGAAUAACUCCCCGAAAGGGGUGCUAAUACCGGAUAAUGUCUUCGGACCAAAGAUUUAUCGCCUUUGGAUGGGCCCGCGUUGGAUUAGCUAGUUGGUAGGGUAAAAGCCUACCAAGGCGACGAUCCAUAGCUGGUCUGAGAGGAUGAUCAGCCACACUGGGACUGAGACACGGCCCAGACUCCUACGGGAGGCAGCAGUGGGGAAUAUUGGACAAUGGGCGAAAGCCUGAUCCAGCCAUGCCGCGUGAGUGAUGAAGGCCUUAGGGUUGUAAAGCUCUUUUACCCGGGAUGAUAAUGACAGUACCGGGAGAAUAAGCUCCGGCUAACUCCGUG